This 308-nucleotide long non-coding RNA is filed under the name Elaeis guineensis (African oil palm). RNAcentral describes it as "long non-coding RNA (EGUI_LNC055520)". The record is from RNAcentral. Lineage: Eukaryota; Viridiplantae; Streptophyta; Magnoliopsida; Arecales; Arecaceae.
AGUUCAAAACUAGGUCAGCUCAGUAAUUGUACGUGCACGAUUCAAGGAGCUUCAGAUCUAAAAAUUCUUGCAUAAUACUAAAAUAAAAUCAAUCAUAAUACUUUUAGAUCAUAUCUAAAAUUUUUAUGAUUUGAGAUUUUAUUUUAUCAUGAUUAAAAUAAUUUUAAUCAUAUAGAUUAGAUAUCUUAUUUUUCAUACAACUUUGUAUCACAUACAACAAACCUAGGAUUUCAAGAUCUAAGAUUUUGUAGAAAAAUAACUUCUUCUUUUCACGUUCUUCUUCAUGAGAUCUAAUCAUAUGGCACCCC